Molecule: ribosomal RNA, 429 nt
Filed under: Gemmatimonadota bacterium
Lineage: Bacteria; Pseudomonadati; Gemmatimonadota
Description: Gemmatimonadetes bacterium partial 16S ribosomal RNA
Rfam family: Bacterial small subunit ribosomal RNA
Source: RNAcentral
UAGGGAAUCUUCGGCAAUGGACGAAAGUCUGACCGAGCAACGCCGCGUGAGUGAAGAAGGUUUUCGGAUCGUAAAACUCUGUUGUUAGAGAAGAACAAGGACGUUAGUAACUGAACGUCCCCUGACGGUAUCUAACCAGAAAGCCACGGCUAACUACGUGCCAGCAGCCGCGGUAAUACGUAGGUGGCAAGCGUUGUCCGGAUUUAUUGGGCGUAAAGCGAGCGCAGGCGGUUUCUUAAGUCUGAUGUGAAAGCCCCCGGCUCAACCGGGGAGGGUCAUUGGAAACUGGGGGACUUGUGUGCAGAAGAGGAGAGUGGAAUUCCAUGUGUAGCGGUGAAAUGCGUAGAUAUAUGGGGGAACACCAGUGGCGAAGGCGGCUCUCUGGUCUGUAACUGACGCUGAGGCGCGAAAGCGUGUGGAGCAAACAGG